RNAcentral lists this long non-coding RNA (204 nucleotides) under Mytilus galloprovincialis (Mediterranean mussel). Lineage: Eukaryota; Metazoa; Mollusca; Bivalvia; Mytilida; Mytilidae. The record is from RNAcentral.
GGGGGGGGGUAGGAUGGGUCCUGAUCCCGAAAUCUCGGGCUUAAAAACACGAAAUCCCGAGGUCCCGAAUUUAAAUAAAGUGAUAUCCCGACAUCCUGAAAUCCGAAAAAAGAAUUCCCGGAUGCCGAAAGGGUCAAUCCCGAAAUCCCAUAGCUCAGUAAAAACUGGCCCGAUCCCGAAGUCCCGAUAAAGGUCCCUUCAUCA